UGCUAUGCCAACAUAUUGCCAUCU
RNAcentral lists this non-coding RNA (24 nucleotides) under Callithrix jacchus (white-tufted-ear marmoset). RNAcentral also lists the same sequence under 3 other names. The record is from RNAcentral. Lineage: Eukaryota; Metazoa; Chordata; Mammalia; Primates; Cebidae.